CUUACAUCUCUUCGGAGCAUUUUACGAGGUGCUGCAUGGUUGUCGUCAGCUCGUGCCGUGAGGUGUCGGGUUAAGUCCCAUAACGAGCGCAACCCCUACCUUUAGUUGCCAUCAGGUUAAGCUGGGGACUCUAAAGGAACUGCCUACGCAAGUAGUGAGGAAGGCGGGGAUGACGUCAAAUCAGCACGGCCCUUACGUCCAGGGCUACACACGUGCUACAAUGGCCGAUACAGAGGGCAGCUACCUGGUGACAGGAUGCAAAUCUCCAAAGUCGGUCUCAGUUCGGAUCGGAGUCUGCAACCCGACUCCGUGAAGUUGGAUUCGCUAGUAAUCGCGCAUCAGCCAUGGCGCGGUGAAUACGUUCCCGGGCCUU
This 373-nucleotide ribosomal RNA is filed under the name uncultured Sphingobacteriales bacterium. Its description in RNAcentral is "bacterial SSU rRNA". It matches the Rfam family "Bacterial small subunit ribosomal RNA", at positions 1008 to 1382 of the family's 1533-position model. Lineage: Bacteria; Pseudomonadati; Bacteroidota; Sphingobacteriia; Sphingobacteriales. The record is from RNAcentral.